AUUGAACGCUGGCGGCAGGCCUAACACAUGCAAGUCGAGCGGAUGAAGGGAGCUUGCUCCUGGAUUCAGCGGCGGACGGGUGAGUAAUGCCUAGGAAUCUGCCUGGUAGUGGGGGAUAACGUCCGGAAACGGGCGCUAAUACCGCAUACGUCCUGAGGGAGAAAGUGGGGGAUCUUCGGACCUCACGCUAUCAGAUGAGCCUAGGUCGGAUUAGCUAGUUGGUGGGGUAAAGGCCUACCAAGGCGACGAUCCGUAACUGGUCUGAGAGGAUGAUCAGUCACACUGGAACUGAGACACGGUCCAGACUCCUACGGGAGGCAGCAGUGGGGAAUAUUGCACAAUGGGCGAAAGCCUGAUCCAGCCAUGCCGCGUGUGUGAAGAAGGUCUUCGGAUUGUAAAGCACUUUAAGUUGGGAGGAAGAGCAGUAAGUUAAUACCUUGCUGUUUUGACGUUACCAACAGAAUAAGCACCGGCUAACUUCGUG
RNAcentral lists this ribosomal RNA (484 nucleotides) under uncultured bacterium. RNAcentral describes it as "partial 16S ribosomal RNA". It matches the Rfam family "Bacterial small subunit ribosomal RNA", at positions 30 to 507 of the family's 1533-position model. The record is from RNAcentral.